AGGUUCGAUUCUGGCUCAGGAUGAACGCUAGCUACAGGCUUAACACAUGCAAGUCGAGGGGCAGCAUUGGAGUAGCAAUACUCAGAUGGCGACCGGCGCACGGGUGAGUAACACGUAUCCAACCUGCCGCUUACUCGGGGAUAGCCUUUCGAAAGAAAGAUUAAUACCCGAUGGUAUAAAGAGUUCGCAUGUUCUCUUUAUUAAAGAAUUUCGGUAAGCGAUGGGGAUGCGUUCCAUUAGAUAGUUGGCGGGGUAACGGCCCACCAAGUCUACGAUGGAUAGGGGUUCUGAGAGGAAGGUCCCCCACAUUGGAACUGAGACACGGUCCAAACUCCUACGGGAGGCAGCAGUGAGGAAUAUUGGUCAAUGGACGAGAGUCUGAACCAGCCAAAAGUAGCGUGAAGGAUGACUGCCCUAUGGGUUGUAAACUUCUUUUAUAAGGGAAUAAAGUGAGGGACGUGUCCCUUUUCGUAUCCGUACCUUAUGAACUAAGGAUCGGCUACUCGUGCCAGCCGCCGC
This 519-nucleotide ribosomal RNA is filed under the name uncultured bacterium. RNAcentral's name for it is "bacterial SSU rRNA". It matches the Rfam family "Bacterial small subunit ribosomal RNA", at positions 9 to 518 of the family's 1533-position model. The record is from RNAcentral.